Non-coding RNA from Poecilia reticulata (guppy), 532 nucleotides. NCBI's taxonomy places the organism in Eukaryota, Metazoa, Chordata, Actinopteri, Cyprinodontiformes, Poeciliidae. The record is from RefSeq and is a predicted model, not a curated record.
UGCUGUGUGUUGCAUUGUCCUCCAGCCAAUCAGCUCUGAGCUCUGCAGCCCCUUCACCCUCCUCCUCUUCCUCAGCAGGCCGCUGCUGCUUCUCUGGCUCAUAAGUAUCACAUCGGUCAGCUGUGUUUGCAAUUACAACAGCUGCUCACAAAGUGAAUAAAAAUCUUCAGCUGCUAUCCGUCCUGCACCAACCAACAUGUCUGUUGAGGUUCCCUGGAGUUUAACCAAGAGAGAAGAUCGACUCUGGACCAGGAGGAGUUGGAACCUCUGCAGGGAAAACAAGACCAGGAAGAGAAAGAAGAUCAUCAGAUAAAAGUGGAAGAGAAAGAAGUUUACUGCAGUCAGGGUGAAGAACCUGCAUGUUGGUUCCUGUUGAUGAGCAAACACACCAAACUGAAUCAGAACCAAACAGUGACCAAGUCCUCUUAAAAGAAGCUGCUGAAUCUGAGAAUCAAAAUCAGGAAAGAAGAAAACCUUUCUCAUGUGUCAUCUGCAAAAAGUAUUUCGCUUUAAAAUCAGUUUUUGAUGCUCA